This 68-nucleotide transfer RNA is filed under the name Parcoblatta divisa. Its description in RNAcentral is "tRNA-Tyr". The record is from RNAcentral. Lineage: Eukaryota; Metazoa; Arthropoda; Insecta; Blattodea; Blattellidae.
AGUAGAAUGGCUGAGAUAAUAGGUAAUAAAUUGUAAAUUUAUUAAGGAGUUUAUAAACUCUUCUACUA